GGCGUCGUAGCUCUGUUGGCUAGAGCAUUGGCUGUACUAAAGUCUUUUUUGCUGGCAUGGGUUCGAAUCCCACCGAGGCCG
Molecule: transfer RNA, 81 nt
Filed under: Schistocephalus solidus
Lineage: Eukaryota; Metazoa; Platyhelminthes; Cestoda; Diphyllobothriidea; Diphyllobothriidae
Rfam family: tRNA
About the family: Transfer RNA (tRNA) molecules are approximately 80 nucleotides in length. Their secondary structure includes four short double-helical elements and three loops (D, anti-codon, and T loops).
Source: Rfam by way of RNAcentral